RNAcentral lists this ribosomal RNA (459 nucleotides) under uncultured bacterium. Its description in RNAcentral is "bacterial SSU rRNA". It matches the Rfam family "Bacterial small subunit ribosomal RNA", at positions 355 to 804 of the family's 1533-position model. The record is from RNAcentral.
UGGGGAAUUUUGGACAAUGGGGGCAACCCUGAUCCAGCAAUGCCGCGUGAGUGGAGAAGGCCUUCGGGUUGUAAAGCUCUUUUGUCAGGGAAGAAACGGUAGUAGCGAAUAACUAUUACUAAUGACGGUACCUGAAGAAUAAGCACCGGCUAACUACGUGCCAGCAGCCGCGGUAAUACGUAGGGUGCAAGCGUUAAUCGGAAUUACUGGGCGUAAAGCGUGCGCAGGCGGUUGUGUAAGUCAGAUGUGAAAUCCCCGGGCUCAACCUGGGAAUUGCAUUUGAGACUGCACGGCUAGAGUGUGUCAGAGGGGGGUAGAAUUCCACGUGUAGCAGUGAAAUGCGUAGAUAUGUGGAGGAAUACCGAUGGCGAAGGCAGCCCCCUGGGAUAACACUGACGCUCAUGCACGAAAGCGUGGGGAGCAAACAGGAUUAGAUACCCCGGUAGUCCCUGAGCGGGC